RNAcentral lists this ribosomal RNA (253 nucleotides) under uncultured bacterium. Its description in RNAcentral is "partial 16S ribosomal RNA". It matches the Rfam family "Bacterial small subunit ribosomal RNA", at positions 524 to 776 of the family's 1533-position model. The record is from RNAcentral.
UACGUAGGGUGCGAGCGUUAAUCGGAAUUACUGGGCGUAAAGCGUGCGCAGGCGGUUCGUUGUGUCGGUGGUGAAAUCCCCGGGCUUGACCUGGGAAUGGCCAUGGAAACUGGCGAACUGGAGUGCGGCAGAGGGGGGUGGAAUUCCGCGUGUAGCGGUGAAAUGCGCAGAUAUCAGGAGGAACACCGGUGGCGAAGGCGGGACUCUGUGCCGAUACUGACGCUGAGGAGCGAAAGCGUGGGGAGCGAACAGG